GAUGAACGCUAGCGGCAGGCUUAAUACAUGCAAGUCGAACGGUAAGUGUUAUAGCAAUAUAGCACGAGAGUGACGUACGGGUGCGUAACACGUAUGCAACCUACCUUGUACAGGAGGAUAGCUCGGGGAAACUCGAAUUAACCCUCCAUAAGAUCAUAGAAUGGCAUCAUUUAGUGAUAAAACUUAGGUGGUACAAGAUGGGCAUGCGUCUGAUUAGAGUUUGGUGGGGUAAUGGCUCACCAAGACGAUGAUCAGUAGGGGACCUGAGAGGGUGAUCCCCACCA
Molecule: ribosomal RNA, 284 nt
Filed under: uncultured bacterium
Lineage: Bacteria
Description: partial 16S ribosomal RNA
Rfam family: Bacterial small subunit ribosomal RNA
Source: RNAcentral